This 1237-nucleotide ribosomal RNA is filed under the name metagenome. RNAcentral's name for it is "bacterial LSU rRNA". It matches the Rfam family "Bacterial large subunit ribosomal RNA", at positions 1564 to 2810 of the family's 2925-position model. The record is from RNAcentral.
UGAAUACGAGAUGCUACGGCGUCGAAGCAGUCUAUGUCAUACUUCCAAGAAAAGCUUGCACUGUCAUAAACAAAUAAUGCCUGUACCAUAACCGACACAGGUGGGUAGGUAGAGUAUACUAAGGGGCGCGAGAUAACUCUCUCUAAGGAACUCGGCAAAAUGACUCCGUAACUUCGGGAGAAGGAGUGCCUUAUUUAUAAGGUUGCAAUAACAAGAUCCAAGCAACUGUUUACCAAAAACACAGGUCUCCGCUAAGUCGUAAGACGAUGUAUGGGGGCUGACGCCUGCCCAGUGCCAGAAGGUUAAAGAAGUUGGUUAGCAUCCGCGAAGCUGAUAACUGAAGCCCUGGUGAACGGCGGCCGUAACAAUAACGGUCCUAAGGUAGCGAAAUUCCUUGUCGGGUAAGUUCCGACCCGCACGAAAGGCGUAAUGAUUUGGAUACUGUCUCGGAGAGGGGCUCGGUGAAAUAGACUUGUCUGUGAAGAUGCGGACUACCUGCACCAGGACAGAAAGACCCUAUGAAGCUUUACUGUAACCUGAAAUUGAAAUUGGACUUUACUUGCGCAGUAUAGGUGGGAGGCGUUGAGAAUAUUCUUGCGGGAUUAUUGGAGCCAUCAGUGAGAUACCACUCUUGUAAUGUUAGAUUUCUAACUUUGUAUCAUUAUCUGGUCAAAGAACAGUUUCAGGCGGGCAGUUUGACUGGGGCGGUCGCCUCCUAAACGGUAACGGAGGCGCACAAAGGUUUCCUCUGAACGGGUAGAAAUCGUAUCUAGAGUGUAAAGGCAUAAGGAAGCUUGACUGUGAGACCUACAAGUCGAGCAGGGACGAAAGUCGGUCUUAGUGAUCUGACGGUGCUGAGUGGAAAGGCCGUCACUCAACGGAUAAAAGUUACUCUAAGGAUAACAGGCUGAUCUCCCCCAAGAGUUCACAUCGACGGGGAGGUUUGGCACCUCGAUGUCGGCUCAUCGCAUCCUGGGGCGGUAGUACGUCCCAAGGGUUGGGCUGUUCGCCCAUGAAAGCGGUACGCGAGCUGGGUUCAGAACGUCGUGAGACAGUUCGGUCCAUAUCCGGUGUAGGCGUUAGAAUAUUGAGAGGAGCCUUCUUUAGUACGAGAGGACCGAGAAGGACAUACCUCUGGUGUACCAGUUAUCGUGCCAACGGUAAACGCUGGGUAGCUAUGUGUGGAGUGGAUAACCGCUGAAAGCAUCUAAGUGGGAAGCCCACCUCAAGAUAAGUA